UCUCGGCAUAAGAGAGCUUCCAUAUCAACAUAAAGCUUUGAGAAAGGCAUUAACAAGAUCUAGAAAGGGUUUUAAGGCAUAAAAGAGAAGGAAAACUGAAGAAUACCUCAAAGAGCUCUUGCUUUCCCUUGAAUCUCUGCUCUACAAUCCUUCUCCUUGCUCCUUUCUUCUUCUCCUUCUUCAAGCCUUCACAAUAGCACACAAAAUCACUUAGAAUCACUCAAGAACGAAUUAGGGUUUUCUCACAGCUUUUGAGGGUGAAGGAGGCGAGAUUGGGGGCUAUAAGGUGGCUUAAAUAGUGGGCAACCCGGGGAUUUAGGGUUUCUCCCAGACGGACAGACUCGCCGAGUCCAGAAUAUGGACUCGCCGAGUCGCCAGCUAACACGUGCUCGAAAUCCCGACCCUACUCGGCGAGUCAGGCUAUGAACUCGCCGAGUCCCUCUUGCAAAACUUCAAAAUAAAUACCAAGGAAUUAUCAUACCGGAGACGGGUCGUUACAAUUCUCCCCCACUUAUCUCAGACUUCGUCCUCGAAGUCUGCUACGGCUGAAUCUGCAAAUAUCUCUGGGUAGUGCUCUCUCAUCUCCUCCUCAGCCUCCCACGUCCACUCAGACCCCUUCCGGUGCUGCCACUGCACCUUCACUAACUGAAUUUCCUUGUUCCUCAAGGUCUUGGUCUUCCGGUCCAGAAUCGCGACCGGCCUCUCAAUAUAAUUCAGGCUGCUAUCAACCUGAAUAUCCUCUAGGGGAACGACUGCUGACUCAUCCACCAAACACUUCCUCAACUGAGACACAUGGAAAGUGUUGUGGAUCUGACUAAGCUCCUCAGGAAGAUCUAACCGAUAAGCAACCCGACCCACCCGGGCCAAAACCCUGAAAGGACCAAUAAAUCUGGGGCCCAACUUGCCCCUCUUCCGGAACCUGAUGACACCCUUCCAAGGUGAGACCUUCAGAAGGACCAUAUCUCCCACCUGGAACUCCAAGUCUGAACGCCUCCUGUCGGCGUAGCUCUUCUGCCGACUCUGCGCAGUCUGCAGUCUACUACGGACCUGCUGGAUCAACUCGGUCGUCUUGAGCACCACCUCUGUGCUCCCGAUGACUCGCUGACCGACCUCGCCCCAACAAAUCGGGGUCCUACACUUCCUCCCAUACAGCAUCUCAAAGGGAGGUCGAUCAAUGCUCGCAUGAUAACUGUUGUUAUACGAGAAUUCCGCUAACGGAAGAUACGUAUCCCAACUGCCACCGAAAUCUAGGACACAUGCCCUAAGCAUGUCCUCGAGAGUCUGAAUCGUCCUCUCGCUCUGCCCGUCUGUCUGAGGGUGGAAAGCGGUGCUGAAAUGGAGACGAGUACCCAUCUCGUCGUGGAACCGCUUCCAGAAUCUGGAUGUGAAACGGACAUCUCGGUCUGACACCACCGAUACCGGCACUCCAUGACGUGCCACAAUCUCUCGCACAUAGAUAUCGGCUAACUUCUCCGCCGAUAUACUCUCCUGGAUCGGGAUAAAAUGGGCACUCUUCGUCAACCGAUCCACUACUACCCAUAUCGAAUCCACUCCACGUGCGGUCCGGGGAAGCUUGGUGACAAAAUCCAUGGUGAUGUCCUCCCAUUUCCACACGGGAAUGUCUAACGGCUGCAUCCUGCCGUGAGGUCUCUGGUGCUCCGCCUUGACCUUCCGGCAGGUCAGGCAUCUCUCGACGUACCAGGCGACGUCCCGCUUCAUGCAGGGCCACCAAUAAUCAGGUCGAAGAUCUCGAUACAUCUUCGUCGCCCCUGGGUGGAUAGAAAACCGAGACUUAUGAGCCUCAUCCAUCAACACUUGCCGUACUCCACCCCAGUACGGUACCCACACUCUCCCGUGAAGCGUCAGCAAACCACGACUAUCAUAAUCAAACGAGGCUACUCGGCCCACGAUCCUCUCACACUUCUGUCUCUCCUCCUUGAGACCCUCUACCUGAGCCUCCUUGAUCCGCUCCAACAACGGAGUGAUCACUGUCAUCCUCAAACAUAGAUCCCUGAUAGGGGCCGCCGACACCUUGCGGCUCAGGGCAUCGGCCACCACAUUGGCCUUCCCUGGAUGGUAAAGGAUCUCACAGUCGUAAUCCUUUAGCACAUCCAACCACCUCCUCUGCCUCAUAUUCAGACUCGGCUGAUCCAUAAGGUACCUCAAACUCUUGUGAUCCGUGUAAAUAGUACAACGGACCCCAUAAAGGUAAUGCCUCCAAAUCUUGAGGGCAAACACAACUGCCCCCAGCUCCAAAUCAUGGGUAGGAUAAUUAGCCUCGUGAGGCUUCAACUGUCUCGAGGCAUAAGCUAUCACAUGGCCUCGCUGCAUCAAAACUGCUCCCAAACCUGUGAUCGAGGCAUCACAAUAGACUACAAAGUCCUCUACUCCCUCUGGCAAGGUAAGGAUCGGAGCCUCGCACAAUCUCUGCCUGAGGGUCUCGAAUGCUGUCUGCUGCUCAGGACCCCAACGAAAUACCACUGACUUCUUGGUCAGUCGGGUGAGCGGCACUGCUAUCUUGGAGAAAUCCUGAAUAAAUCUCCGAUAAUACCCUGCCAACCCUAGGAAGCUCCGAAUCUCAGAUGGAGACUUCGGGACCUCCCACUGCAUCACGGCCUCUAUCUUGGCCGGAUCUACCAAAAUACCCUUCUGGUUGACGAGGUGACCAAGGAACUGCACCUCGCGCAACCAGAACUCACAUUUGGAGAACUUUGCGAAAAGUCUCUCCCUCCUCAAAACCUCCAGCACCUCCCGCAGGUGCUCCUCGUGCUGCUCCUGCGUCUUGGAAUAUACCAAGAUGUCAUCUAUGAACACUAUCACUGACCGAUCCAGCAUCGGCCUACACACGCGGUUCAUGAGAUCCAUGAACGCGGCUGGAGCAUUGGUGAGCCCAAAUGGCAUCACCACAAACUCAUAAUGACCAUACCUGGUCCUGAAAGCAGUCUUCUGUACAUCCUCAUCUCUAACCCGCAUCUGAUGAUAACCGGAGCGUAGAUCGAUCUUGGAGAACCAAGACGCUCCCUGAAGCUGAUCAAACAAAUCAUCUAUCCUCGGAAGUGGGUAACGGUUCUUCACCGUUACCUUAUUCAACUCCCGAUAAUCUAUACACAUACGAUGCGACCCAUCCUUCUUCCUCACAAACAGGAUCGGCGCUCCCCAAGGCGAACUGCUCGGCCGAAUGAAACCCUUGUCUAACAGCUCCUGCAGCUGUGUAGACAACUCCUGCAUCUCAGGGGGAGCUAGUCGAUACGGUGCCUUGGCUAUCGGAGCCGCACCAGGAAUGAGGUCGAUCCUGAACUCAACCUGUCUCUCAGGAGGUAUCCCCGGCAAAUCCUCGGGAAACACGUCCGGGUAGUCUCGAACAAUAGGAACAUCAUCAACUGUCGACUUGCCCUUCUCCCGGGCAUCCAAAACGUAAGCUACAAAACCGGCGCAACCCUGCUGAACAUAGCGCCUCGCCCUUGCGGCGGAACAAAAGGUCGGUCCUCGCUGUGGCCUCUCGCCCUGAAUCACCAACUCUCCCCCACUGGGAGUGCGAACCCUCACUAGCUGAAGCUCACAAUCAAUCACCGCCCCAUUGGGGCUUAGCCAAUCCAUACCCACAAUAACCUUAUUCCCUCGCAGGGGAAUAGGUACCAGAUCCACUGAAAACUGCUCAUCAAAUAACUGAAGAGAACACCCUCUAUGCACUCUGCCGACCCUCACGGUCCUAUCAUCCGCUAUCUCAACCUCUAAUGGACAAUCCAGCUCCCCUGGAGCUCUACUAAAUCUCUUGCUAAGCGCAAGUGAUACGAAUGAUCGGGUAGCCCCCGAAUCGAAUAAUACCAUAGCAGAAAUGCCGUUCACAGAGAACGACCCUGAAUAAAACAUACAAUCAUAAGCAAUAUUCAAUCAAUAAUAAUAAAGAGAUAAAGGGAAGAUACAUACCCGUCACCACAUCAGGAGUCGCUCGCGCCUCCUCUGCUGUCAUCUGAAACGCCCUACUCUUCGCCACUGGCGCAUCAGCUCGGCCCUGCCGGCCAUCUGUAAUCCUCAAGGUAGCAGGGGCAGGUGCAGCCACCUUCCCUGCUGCAGCUAAACUCGGACACUGGGACUUUUUAUGUCCCCUCUGAUUGCACUGAAAGCAAAUCAGAUCUGAUGCUGCGACGGCAGUAGCAGGGGCCGUACAAUCCCUACUCAAAUGCCCAAUCCGACCGCACUUGUAGCAGCCGGAACUCCCUGCCUUGCACGCUCCCUCGUGCAAUCUCCCACACUUGCCACAUCGACCGUGGCUCUGCUGACUCCUAGAUCUGUGAUCUGAAACCUUGGGCUUUUUGCCCGAACCGCCUGAACCCGAAACCGCCUCCGGUUUCCUCUUCUUCUCCAUCUCGAGAUCAAUCUCCCUCUCCCGAGCUCUAGCAAUCAUAUCUUCCAGCGUUUUACAGCUGGACCGGCUCACAAACUGGCGGAUAUCGCUCCGCAACAUCUCAUGAUAACGGGCCUUCUUCAUUUCCUCAUCAGCUACGUACUGAGGAACGAGAAGAGCCCUCUCCCUGAACUUGGCGGUGAUCUCCGCCACUGUCUCUGUAGUCUGGGUGAGGUCCUGAAACUCCCUAGCUAGCUGUUGCACCUCAAUGACCGGUGCAAACUCCGCCCUGAACCUGGUAGAGAAAUCAGCCCAGGUCAUGGCGUCCAAUGCUGCAUCAUCCCCAAUGGCAUGUCCGACCUCCUCCCACCAAUCCCGUGCCCUGUCCUUCAGAAGACAGGACGCCAAUCUGACCUUGUCCCCCUCGGGACAUCUGCUAGUACGGAAAGCGUUGGCCACAUCCGCCAACCAUCUGGUGCUCGCUAUGGGGUCUCGCGCCCCAUGAUAGUCCGGAGCUCCACAUGCCCUGAACUCCCUGAAAGUAAGGGUGCGCGACCCCAUCAUGGCCGCCACCUCGGCACGGAAGGUGCCCAAUCUCUCAUCCAUCAGCUCUAGAAUUCCCUCCUUGAUCGAACCGAAGAUCACAGGAGUCUGCUCUAUAAUGAUGCGCGUAAUCUCCGAAGAAAGAAACUCUCGGGUCUGCUCAUCCAUGCGCUCAUCCCCCGAGCCUGAACCUGAUCCCUCCCCGGCACCUCCACUGCCGGCUGCUGGUCUCGAACGCAAAACCACCAUUCUGAAACACAUCACAACUACAUCAGAAAACAGAAAUAUCUCAAGGGAUCAUUGAUACUACAACUAGCUUCCUGGUCUUGUCUCAGCCUUUCUUGAUUCGAGUACGGAUCCUCUGCUUUCAGUAGUACGGGCCCAUACUACCUUCCACAUCUAUCCGUACUUUCUUCAAGAACUGCCUUGACUCCACCAAGUCACUUCUACUACUACUGAUCUCUGCUACUCUCAUCCUAGGCUUGCCCUAGGGAAACCUCAGACUCAACUCAACUAGUCCUCAGCUGCUGAAGGUCUCCUUAUAAUGCUAAUUAGCCACCACCUGAACACCAUCACAUGUGACGAGGAUCAGAUAAUCCUUCAAGUAAAAGACCCGUCCCUAUAACGGUUGGACUCAAACAAGAGCUGCGCAAUAGGGCCAGUUCCAGCACUCUGGGAUUAUUCAACCCUGAUCACAUGUGGUGUGACGUGUUCACCUAAUGGCUAACUCCCAUCACUCAGAACCCCACAAAGCACGAAGCAAGCAGCAUUCGGAUAAAGGAAACAUACUCAGGCAAAACUAUUCUCAUAACGAGAAACUGUACUAGCAUACAAUGCUAAGCUCAUACUAUCAGGCAUAACCUAAACAGGCUAUCCUACUGCUGUCUACUCAAUACUAGCAUGCAAUACUCAUAAAGCUGUAACACAUAAAGCAGGCACAUAAGGCAUCCUCCUAGAUCCUUAGUCCUAUACUAGCAUGCUGUUCUACUGAAACUGAAACUGAACAAAUAACUUGUAUGGGUAAUUUGGGAGUACUUACUUGAGCUCGGCUGAUCGCAUGCACCACACCCUUAUCUCGUUUAAAAAUUUCUUUCUUUCUAAGUGCUUUCAAAAUUCUUUUAGAAAACAUUUUCCUUUUAAAAAUCUUUUUAUUUCCCCUUAGUUUGAGUUCAGAUACACCCGGAAGUGUAUCCGAAUCCCUCAAACCAGGGCUCUGAUACCAACUUGAAACGACCCAAAAAUACGACCCAAAAAUUUCAUUUUUCAAUAUAACCAAAAACCAUAAUCUGAGUGUCAUAUCAUAAAACCAUACGUGAUGUAUCCCAAACAUAAUAAAAACACUGUGCGGAAAACUGUAUCAUAUCUAUGUCAUAUCAAAAUCAAAAACUAAAUCAACUCCCAGGAUAAAAGCUGAAGCUGUGGUGUGUGCGAUGCCAUCAUCCCGAGCUCUUCCCUCUGCUUGCGGAAGUACCUGAAACCAAAACUAAAACUGUAAGCACGAAGCUUAGUGAGCUCCCCCAAACUACCACAUACCAUACAAUACAUAUAAAGCACAUACUGGGCCUUGCCCACUGCAUCAGACCGAAGUCUGGAACUAGCUGCAUCGGACCGAAGUCCGGAACUGACUGGGACCUUGUCCCCUGCAUCGGACCAGAGUCCGGAACUAACUGCAUCGGACCGAAGUCCGGAACUGACUGCAUCGGACCGAAGUCCGGAACUAACUGCAUCGGACCGAAGUCCGGAACUGACUGCAUCGGACCGAAGUCCGGAACUGACUGAUCAUGGCAUAGCAUAAAACAUAACAACUAUUAUAAUCACAUAUACUGCAUACUGCAUCGGAACAGAGUCCGGAACACAUAACACAAAUAUGCUUGAAUCACAAAGACAUCAAGCACUCUAGCUACUGCAUCAGACCAAAGUCCGGAACUACUGAUAAUUAAACGGGCCGGCAUUGUGGCCGUAGACCCGUUCCUACUGAAAGGAAACUCACCUCGUGAACUGGCUGCUGAGUGAAUAGCUCUGAGGGCUAACUGCUGCUGCUCCGGUAUCUCCCCGGCUACAAGUCCAUAAACACACUCAAUCAAAUACUAAACACUGCACUGGGUAAAAUGACUCUUUUACCCUUGGUCAAAGUCAACCCUCGGACAAAGUCAACUCUCGGUCAAAGUCAACCCACAGUUGACCUGACUCGCCGAGUUGGGCCGCCAACUCGCCGAGUCCCUAUUCUCACUCCUCGACCCUACUCGCUGCUACUCGUCGAGUAUGGCAUCGACUCGACGAGUACUCUCUCGAUCCAAGAACUCAGACAAUCUUCAUCCGACUCGCCGAGUCAUAUGAACAACUCGACGAGUUGUUCUUGAGCUUAAGAAGAUUGCCUUGGACUCGCCGAGUUGUAUGAACAACUCGCCGAGUCCCUCCAUUACUGAGUCUACCCUCAAACUCGCUGAGUCCACUCCACUACUCACUGGUCCCACUCGACACCGCUCAAAAGGAAGAAAUCGGGGACUCGCGACUCGACUCGCCGAGUCGUUCUUCCGACUCGCCGAGUCACCGCCAUGCAACUAUUCUACACUCGAUUCUGCUCGAAUCCAAUACAUACAAAUGAUAGAUCUGAGUCCAAUAAGCUGAUUUACCACGUAAAGUUUCCAACUUUACGUGUACAAACACAUGAACAAGGGAAUAAAGGCUAAAAGAUGCUUAAAAGGGGUAGAUCUAGGGUUAAUAUGCAAAAUAGCUCCAUAAAGGCAAUAGAUCUGGGCUCUACAACUCCUAAAUGAACAGAUCUAAGGUUAUCUCGGCAUAAGAGAGCUUCCAUAUCAACAUAAAGCUUUGAGAAAGGCAUUAACAAGAUCUAGAAAGGGUUUUAAGGCAUAAAAGAGAAGGAAAACUGAAAAAUACCUCAAAGAGCUCUUGCUUUCCCUUGAAUCUCUGCUCUACAAUCCUUCUCCUUGUUCCUUUCUUCUUCUCCUUCUUCAAGCCUUCACAAUAGCACACAAAAAUCACUUAGAAUCACUCAAGAACGAAUUAGGGUUUUCUCACAGCUUUUGAGGGUGAAGGAGGCGAGAUUGGGGGCUAUAAGGUGGCUUAAAUAGUGGGCAACCCGGGGAUUUAGGGUUUCUCCCAGACGGACAGACUCGCCGAGUCCAGAAUAUGGACUCGCCGAGUCGCCAGCCAAC
RNAcentral lists this long non-coding RNA (8064 nucleotides) under Lactuca sativa (garden lettuce). Its description in RNAcentral is "long non-coding RNA (LSAT_LNC000601)". The record is from RNAcentral. Lineage: Eukaryota; Viridiplantae; Streptophyta; Magnoliopsida; Asterales; Asteraceae.